AGCGAUUACACUGGUAACCCGUAGCUCAGCGGCUUCCAGUACAAGGAUUACAUCAAGCAGUGAAAUACGAGGAACAACUCUAAGUUUUCUCAGUGAACCUUUUACUACAG
Long non-coding RNA from Camelus dromedarius (Arabian camel), 110 nucleotides. RefSeq lists it as uncharacterized. NCBI's taxonomy places the organism in Eukaryota, Metazoa, Chordata, Mammalia, Artiodactyla, Camelidae. The record is from RefSeq and is a predicted model, not a curated record. The transcript has 3 exons.